Molecule: ribosomal RNA, 328 nt
Filed under: uncultured Bacteroidota bacterium
Lineage: Bacteria; Pseudomonadati; Bacteroidota
Description: bacterial SSU rRNA
Rfam family: Bacterial small subunit ribosomal RNA
Source: RNAcentral
UUCGUAGGCGGUUUGAUAAGUCAGUGGUGAAAUCUCCUAGCUUAACUAGGAAAUGGCCAUUGAUACUGUUAGACUUGAAUUAUUGGGAAGUAACUAGAAUAUGUAGUGUAGCGGUGAAAUGCUUAGAUAUUACAUGGAAUACCAAUUGCGAAGGCAGGUUACUAUCAAUACAUUGACGCUGAUGAACGAAAGCGUGGGUAGCGAACAGGAUUAGAUACCCUGGUAGUCCACGCCGUAAACGAUGGAUACUAGCUGUUCGGUCGCAAGACUGAGUGGCUAAGCGAAAGUGAUAAGUAUCCCACCUGGGGAGUACGUUCGCAAGAAUGAA